This 73-nucleotide transfer RNA is filed under the name Bos taurus (domestic cattle). It matches the Rfam family "tRNA". From Rfam's summary of the family: Transfer RNA (tRNA) molecules are approximately 80 nucleotides in length. Their secondary structure includes four short double-helical elements and three loops (D, anti-codon, and T loops). The record is from Rfam by way of RNAcentral. RNAcentral also lists the same sequence under 2 other names. Lineage: Eukaryota; Metazoa; Chordata; Mammalia; Artiodactyla; Bovidae.
UCCCUGAUGGCUCAAUUGGUAAAAGAAUCCACCUGCAACAUGGGAGACCCAGGUUCGAUCCCUGGGUUGGGAA